UUUUAUUCUUCUACUUGUUUCAGUCAUUUUGACUGCGGCCAUGCUGGAGCACCGCCUCUAGUCGAGCAAAUCGACUCCAGCCUAGUACUUAUUCUAUCGAGGAUCUUUAGCCGAACUGCUAAGUUACGGGGACGUGAAUACACCAGCAUCGGUUGUCAAGCGAUGUUGGCGCGACAGACACACAAACAUAUACACACGCAAACACACACAUAUAUACAUAUACGACUUGCUUCUUUCAGUUUCCGUCUACGAAAUUCACACACAAAACUUUGGUCGGCCCGAGGCUAUAGCAGAAGACACUUUCCCAAGGUGCCACGCAGUGGGAUUGAACCCGGGAGCAUGUGAUUGGUAAGCAAGCUACUUACCACACAGCCACUCCUGCACCUAUAUAUAUAUAAUAGAUAAAUAUUUUGUAUGAAUGCGUGUAUAUGUAUAUAUCUGCACAAACGUAGACAUAGUGGUACACACAAACAGAUACUUACGCAUAUGCAAAUUUUAUUGCUAUGACAACACGUUAUCAACAGCAACAACAACAAAUACAACGACACAAAAGUCUUACAUUUACUUAUAAUAAGUGCUGCAAACAGAAGUCAUUAAACUCAAAACACACUGACACACACAUUAUAUACUAGAUUUGUAUGCGUGUGUACAUACAUACAUAAAUAAAUACAUACAUACACACAUACAUACAUACAUACAUACAUACAUACAUACAUACAUACUCACAUACAUACAUACAUACAUACUUAGACAUACAUACACACAUACAUACAUACAUACAUACAUACAUACAUACAUACAUACAUACAUACAUACAUACAUACAUACAUACAUACAUACAUACAUACAUACAUACAUACAUACAUACAUACAUACAUAAAUACAUACAUACAUACACACACACACACACAUACAUACAUACAUACAUACAUACAUACAUACAUACAUACAUACAUACAUACAUACAUACAUACAUACAUACAUACAUACAUACAUACGUACGUACGUGUAGACGGAUGUAAGCUUCAUACAUAUUUCGCGCCGUUGACACUCGGAGGAUGUCUGUGCUUUUUACCUAAACAGCAAAUACCAAUAAUGUCGGAUUACUUUUUACUACCACCACCAACGCCACCAUCAUCAUCAUCGUCAUCAUUAUUCUAAUUACUACCACAAACUACUAAUACUACUAUUAGUAGUAAGUGCAAUAUUACGAUUGUUAAUGUGACGUGGGAUCCCCUUAACUUUUUUUGUUUUACCUGAGAAUGAAACUAGACCAGACAGAUAUGGAAAACCAAAAUAUUACAG
RNAcentral lists this long non-coding RNA (1305 nucleotides) under Octopus vulgaris (common octopus). Lineage: Eukaryota; Metazoa; Mollusca; Cephalopoda; Octopoda; Octopodidae. The record is from RNAcentral.